UACGUAGGGGGCAAGCGUUGUCCGGAUUUACUGGGCGUAAAGAGCGCGCAGGCGGUCGGAUAAGUCGAAUGUGAAAGCCCCCGGCUCAACUGGGGAGGGUCAUUCGAUACUGUUCGACUCGAAGGCAGGAGAGGGAAGUGGAAUUCCCGGUGUAGUGGUGAAAUGCGUAGAUAUCUGGAGGAACACCGGUGGCGAAGGCGGCAUCCUGGACCGGUAUUGACGCUGAGGCGCGAAAGCUAGGGGAGCAAACAGG
Molecule: ribosomal RNA, 253 nt
Filed under: uncultured bacterium
Lineage: Bacteria
Description: partial 16S ribosomal RNA
Rfam family: Bacterial small subunit ribosomal RNA
Source: RNAcentral